AGCCAAGUGGAACCCAAAUAUCUAAUUGGGAAUAAACUUUACACUCUAAAGGAAAAAGAGGAUUUGGGUAAGAAGGGUUUAUUGAAUGGUGGUGUUUUGGAGAUACUAAAAAGGUUAAAUAUUAAAGGAAUGGUGAAGAAUGGAAGUGAUGAGGGUAGUUUAAUGAAGUCUGGGGAUGUGUUUUUGAAGGAUAUUUUGAGGGAGUAUAAAGGGAAGUUAUAUGUUCCUGAGCAAAUUUU
This 239-nucleotide unclassified non-coding RNA is filed under the name Hevea brasiliensis (rubber tree). The record is from RNAcentral. Lineage: Eukaryota; Viridiplantae; Streptophyta; Magnoliopsida; Malpighiales; Euphorbiaceae.